This 28-nucleotide small RNA is filed under the name Bombyx mori (domestic silkworm). RNAcentral's name for it is "ovarian small RNA-14284". The record is from RNAcentral. Lineage: Eukaryota; Metazoa; Arthropoda; Insecta; Lepidoptera; Bombycidae.
CGAUGUGUGUGUGCAUGCGAUGUAGCUU